GAUGAACGCUAGCGAUAGGCCUAACACAUGCAAGUCGAGGGGCAUCACAUGAAGUAGCAAUACGGAUGGUGGCGACCGGCGCACGGGUGAGUAACACGUAUGCAACCUGCCUUCAACAAGGGGAUAACCCGUUGAAAGACGGACUAAUACCCUAUAACACAGGGGUCCCGCAUGGGAAUAUUUGUUAAAGGACAACCGGUUGAAGAUGGGCAUGCGUUCCAUUAGCUAGUUGGCGGGUAACGGCCCACCAAGGCAACGAUGGAUAGGGGAACUGAGAGGUUUAUCCCCCACACUGGUACUGAGACACGGACCAGACUCCUACGGGAGGCAGCAGUGAGGAAUAUUGGUCAAUGGACGCAAGUCUGAACCAGCCACGUCGCGUGAAGGAAGACGGCCCUACGGGUUGUAAACUUCUUUUAUACGGGAAUAAAGUGCCCCACGCGUGGGGUUUUGCAUGUACCGUAUGAAUAAGGAUCGGCU
Molecule: ribosomal RNA, 480 nt
Filed under: uncultured bacterium
Lineage: Bacteria
Description: bacterial SSU rRNA
Rfam family: Bacterial small subunit ribosomal RNA
Source: RNAcentral